UCCAGACUCCUACGGGAGGCAGCAGUGGGGAAUAUUGGGCAAUGGGCGCAAGCCUGACCCAGCAAUGCCGCGUGAAGGAAGAAGGCCUUCGGGUUGUAAACUUCUUUUAUCAGGGACGAAGGAUGUGACGGUACCUGAUGAAUAAGCUCCGGCUAACUACGUGCCAGCAGCCGCGGUAAUACGUAGGGAGCAAGCGUUAUCCGGAUUUACUGGGUGUAAAGGGCGCGUAGGCGGGAUGGCAAGUCAGAUGUGAAAACCACGGGCUCAACCUGUGGCCUGCAUUUGAAACUGUAGUUCUUGAGUACUGGAGAGGCAGACGGAAUUCCUAGUGUAGCGGUGAAAUGCGUAGAUAUUAGGAGGAACACCAGUGGCGAAGGCGGUCUGCUGGACAGCAACUGACGCUGAGGCGCGAAAGCGUGGGGAGCAAACAGGAGUAGAUACCCUGGUAGU
RNAcentral lists this ribosomal RNA (450 nucleotides) under uncultured bacterium. Its description in RNAcentral is "partial 16S ribosomal RNA". It matches the Rfam family "Bacterial small subunit ribosomal RNA", at positions 330 to 794 of the family's 1533-position model. The record is from RNAcentral.